Molecule: ribosomal RNA, 494 nt
Filed under: uncultured bacterium
Lineage: Bacteria
Description: partial 16S ribosomal RNA
Rfam family: Bacterial small subunit ribosomal RNA
Source: RNAcentral
GACGAACGCUGGCGGCGCGCUUAACACAUGCAAGUCGAACGGAAAGGCCUGCUUUCCCUUGUGGAUUGCGGGUACUCGAGUGGCGAACGGGUGAGUAACACGUGAGUGAUCUGCCCCCAACUUGGGUAUAAGCCUGGGAAACUGGGUCUAAUUCCCGAUAGGACUGCAGGGUGGUGCCUGUGGUGGAAAACGAUUUUCUAGUGGUUGGGGAUGAGCUCGCGGCCUAUCAGCUUGUUGGUGGGGUAAUGGCCUACCAAGGCGGCGACGGGUAGCCGGCCUGGGAGGGUGGACGGCCACAUUGGGACUGAGAUACGGCCCAGACUCCUACGGGAGGCAGCAGUGGGGAAUAUUGCACAAUGGGCGGAAGCCUGAUGCAGCGACGCCGCGUGGGGGAUGACGGCCUUCGGGUUGUAAACUCCUUUCGACCGCGAGGAAGCCACCUGGUUGGAAGGGUGGUGACGGUAGUAGUAGAAGAAGCACCGGCUAACUACGUG